Molecule: non-coding RNA, 74 nt
Organism: Branchiostoma floridae (Florida lancelet)
Lineage: Eukaryota; Metazoa; Chordata; Leptocardii; Amphioxiformes; Branchiostomatidae
Source: Rfam
GUUGAAUAUGCGGUGCGGUGGUAGCAACCGUCCCGACGUAAAGUCGAUUGUUACACCGCGCCGCAAAAGUUGAC